This 1426-nucleotide ribosomal RNA is filed under the name uncultured bacterium. Its description in RNAcentral is "bacterial SSU rRNA". It matches the Rfam family "Bacterial small subunit ribosomal RNA". The record is from RNAcentral.
AGAGUUUGAUCCUGGCUCAGGACGAACGCUGGCGGCGUGCCUAAUACAUGCAAGUCGAGCGAGCUUGCCUAGAUGAUUUUAGUGCUUGCACUAAAUGAAACUAGAUACAAGCGAGCGGCGGACGGGUGAGUAACACGCGGGUAACCUGCCCAAGAGACUGGGAUAACACCUGGAAACAGAUGCUAAUACCGGAUAACAACACUAGACGCAUGUCUAGAGUUUGAAAGAUGGUUCUGCUAUCACUCUUGGAUGGACCUGCGGUGCAUUAGCUAGUUGGUAAGGUAACGGCUUACCAAGGCAAUGAUGCAUAGCCGAGUUGAGAGACUGAUCGGCCACAUUGGGACUGAGACACGGCCCAAACUCCUACGGGAGGCAGCAGUAGGGAAUCUUCCACAAUGGACGAAAGUCUGAUGGAGCAACGCCGCGUGAGUGAAGAAGGGUUUCGGCUCGUAAAGCUCUGUUGGUAGUGAAGAAAGAUAGAGGUAGUAACUGGCCUUUAUUUGACGGUAAUUACUUAGAAAGGUCACGGCUAACUACGUCCCAGCAGCCGCGGUAAUACGUAGGUGGCAAGCGUUGUCCGGAUUUAUUGGGCGUAAAGCGAGUGCAGGCGGUUCAAUAAGUCUGAUGUGAAAGCCUUCGGCUCAACCGGAGAAUUGCAUCAGAAACUGUUGAACUUGAGUGCAGAAGAGGAGAGUGGAACUCCAUGUGUAGCGGUGGAAUGCGUAGAUAUAUGGAAGAACACCAGUGGCGAAGGCGGCUCUCUGGUCUGCAACUGACGGUGAGGCUCGAAAGCAUGGGUAGCAAACAGAAUUAGAUCCCCUGGUAGUCCAUCCCGUAAACGAUGAGUGCAAAGUGUAGGGAGGUUUCCGCCUCUCAGUGCUGCAGCAACGCAUUAAGCACUCCGCCUGGGGAGUCCGCCCGCAAGGUUGAAACUCAAAGGAAUUGACGGGGGCCCGCACAAGCGGUGGAGCAAGUGGUUAAAUUGGAAGCAACGCGAAGAACCUUACCAGGUCUUGACAUCCAGUGCAAACAUAAGAGAUUAGGUGUUCCCUUCGGGGACGCUGAGACAGGUGGUGCAUGGCUGUCGUCAGCUCGUGUCGUGAGAUGUUGGGUUAAGUCCCGCAACGAGCGCAACCCUUGUCAUUAGUUGCCAUCAUUAAGUUGGGCACUAUAAUGAGACUGCCGGUGACAAACCGGAGGAAGGUGGGGAUGACGUCAAGUCAUCAUGCCCCUUAUGACCUGGGCUACACACGUGCUACAAUGGACGGUACAACGAGAAGCGAACCUGCGAAGGCAAGCGGAUCUCUUAAAGCUGUUCUCAGUUCGGACUGUAGGCUGCAACUCGCCUACACGAAGCUGGAAUCGCUAGUAAUCGCGGAUCAGCACGCCGCGGUGAACACGAAACCGGGCCUUGCACACGCCGCCC